AUGAAGCGGGAACAGCUCAAAUUUGGAAUCUCCGUCGCUCGACGCGGCGGCGAAUUGUAGUUUCGAGAAGCGCCUUCCCGGCGAACGCCCGGGCUCGCCCAAGUUGCCUGGAACGGCACGUCACAGAGGGUGAGAACCCCGUCCGAGGCGGGCCCGGAUCGCCCGCGAUGCGCUUUCCAAGAGUCGGGUUGUUUGGGAAUGCAGCCCAAAACGGGUGGUAGACUCCAUCUAAAGCUAAAUACGGGCACGAGACCGAUAGCGAACAAGUACCGUGAGGGAAAGGUGAAAAGCACUUUGAAAAGAGAGUCAAAGAGAGCGUGAAACCGUUGAGAGGGAAGCGAAUGGGGUCGGCAACGCGCCGUGCGAGAUUCAGCCGGCGGGCGGGCCGGAGGGGCGUGGCCGCGGAUCCUGACGGACCGCGCCCGUCCCUGCCGGUCGUCCCGUCCGCCGUCGCACUUCUCGCCGGCGCGCGUCGGCGUCGGUUGGCCCCGGGUCUCGAGGGCGCCGGGAAGGUGAGUCGUCGGCCCCGGUCUCCCGCGAGGGGGAUCGGCGGUCGCCGACCGUUUAUAGCCCGGCGUCGCACGGCCCGGAGCCGACCGAGGAGUCGCGGCGCGUGCUCUCCCCCCGGGGAGGGCUCGGGGAGCCGUCGCGCCGGUCGGCGGUCGACAGCGGUGGACUGCGUGCAGUGCGCCGCGACCGCCGCCGGUCGCCGCGGCGGGCCUGCCCACACCCGCAAGCAGCGCGCCCAGGACGCCGGCGGCCACACGGCCCCAUCCGACCCGUCUUGAAACACGGACCAAGGAGUCUAGCGUGUGCGCGAGUCUUCGAGUGACGGAAACUCCCAGGCGCAAUGAGAGUGAAGGUGGCGAGUGCCGCCGAGGCGGGAGCCCCCGCCGCAGGGGGCGCACCGUCGACCGACCCGGCCCACUCCUGGGCGGGAUCGA
Molecule: ribosomal RNA, 944 nt
Filed under: Heteractis doreensis
Lineage: Eukaryota; Metazoa; Cnidaria; Anthozoa; Actiniaria; Stichodactylidae
Description: partial 28S ribosomal RNA
Rfam family: Eukaryotic large subunit ribosomal RNA
Source: RNAcentral